AUUGUCCAAAGCCACAGGGAAAAUGGUGGAAAAUUCACCGUCGCCAUUACCAGAAAGAGCGAUUUAUGGCUUUGUUCUUUUCUUAAGCUCCCAGUUUGGCUUCAUACUAUAUCUUGUGUGGGCUUUUAUUCCUGAAACUUGGCUAAACUCCUUAGGCUUAACCUACUGGCCUCAAAAGUAUUGGGCAAUUGCAUUGCCCGUCUACCUCCUCAUUACUAUAGUAAUCGGUUAUGUACUCUUGUUUGGAAUAAACAUGAUGAGUACCUCUCCACUCAACUCCAUUCAUACGAUCACAGAUAACUAUGCUAAAAAUCAACAGCGGAAGAAUUACCAAGAAGAGGCCAUCCCGGCAUUAAGAGAUAUUCCUAUUAGUGAAGUAAACCAAAUGUUCUUUCUUGCAGCCAAAGAACAUCACACCCAAAACUAAACUGUUGUUUCUUGGGUUUUUUUCUCGCUCAAACAUUCAUCUGAAUGAAUAUAGAGAAAUAACCAACUUUCAUCUGCCACUUCUUAUGGGAAGACAAUCUACUUUUGUUCUUUUGGGCAUUUAGAAAAUGUUUGUUGCUGUCAGCAACCCAAAAGAUGAGCUCCCUGCCCGAUAUGGGGCUUGAACUCAUGACCUCGAGAUCAAGAGUCAUAUGCUGUACUGACUGAGCCAACCAAGCACCCCUCACCUGUUCUCUUGAUAAAGACUUCUCCUCUUGUAUUAACAAACCAGCUUUCUAAUGGGUCCCAGCCACUGUGACAGCCUCCCAUCUGACUUUCCUGUGCCCAGUCUUGCGUCUCUACAGAAAGAAUGCUCAGAGCACAAACCUGAUCCUAUCACUUUCCUGUUCAAAACUCUACAAGGCUCUUCUCCACAGCCCUCUGUGGAUCGGCCGGGCCCCUGAGCUUGCUGCACGAGACCCUUCGACCUGGUUCCUGAACAAUGACUCUCUUUCCGAGCAUGCUGCAAGCCUUCUCUUGACAUUUCAUGUAAUGGAACCACGCAGGGUAGUCUGUGGUAUCUGGAUUCUUUCACUUGGCACAAUGUUUUCACGGUCCAUUCAUGUGUCAGCAUGUUUUACUAUUUCAUUUCAUCUCUUUUUAUUACUGAAUUAUAUCCCAUUGCAUGGAUAGACCACAUUUUAUUGAUCCAUUCACCAGUUGAUCUACAUCUGGAUUGGUUUCAGUUUGGGAUUCUUGCAAAUAAAGCUGCUAUGGACA
This is an RNA transcript of Felis catus (domestic cat), 1206 nucleotides long. It is a transcript of the gene named phosphatidylinositol glycan anchor biosynthesis class P, with no coding region annotated. The record is from RefSeq and is a predicted model, not a curated record. Lineage: Eukaryota; Metazoa; Chordata; Mammalia; Carnivora; Felidae. The transcript is spliced from 7 exons.